This 814-nucleotide long non-coding RNA is filed under the name Homo sapiens (human). RNAcentral's name for it is "non-protein coding PRKCQ-AS1:49". The record is from RNAcentral. Lineage: Eukaryota; Metazoa; Chordata; Mammalia; Primates; Hominidae.
ACUUCUUUUCCUCUUUCAGGUUCUGCCCUGAUGUUUCCUGGAAUAAUGCUGAGGACUGCCUUUCGGGUAGCCGCCCUAUUCAGUUCACUUCAUCUCGGAAAUACCUGACCCCUGCCUUGGAUCCAGCGGCCCUCCUGAGAGCUGAGGAAGGAGGAAAUCCUAUGUGUCUGCUCCCGGAGCUGCCACAACCCAUCUUCCCACAACUCGGAACUUGGAAAAAGGAACCCAGGACACGACUUUGCUUUUCUUUUGGACCUAGUUGAUACAAGUUAACAGGAUAUGCUUCUGGCCUGUUUCUGGAUUCUAAGGGUAGAACCAGCAUAAAACUAGUCAGUCCAAGUAUUUCUAAAGAUCCACAGACACAGUUCUCCUGGAUUUGGGAAGCCUAGAGAUAUUAGCACAAUAAUUAAGGCCCAAAGGCAGCACAUAAGAGAGGGAAAGCCAUGCGCGUGGAGUCCAGCACAUCACCCAGAAGGCAGAUGUUCUAUCUCCAUUUUACUCAUUAAAACAAACAAAACCACACCUGGAUUGCCUGCAACUUUUAAAAGCCUUUCCACUGCACAGUGAAAGAAAACCACAAACUCCUUGUUUAAUAAGUGGGAUCACGUGCUUUUAACACGAGGAAAAGGUCAAUCUGAAGCAACUGAUAUGGAACUGCCAGAGUAGGAGUUGAAAAUCUUCCUAAACUGCUGGAGGAUACACCUCUGAUAGCUUGAGACAAAUAUCCUCUUGAUCAUUGUUUCACCAUAUUUGUCUUUGCUCAUGGAGAACCAUUUUGAUCCGUGGUUUAGCCUCCCAGGUGAUUGAACAAUAC